GCCGCCCAGCAAGAGGGUUCGCCGCAGUGUGUAUACGCGAGAAAAUUGUCACGCGAUUUUAUAAUUUCGAAUUCAGUAUUUUGUUUCCGUCUCAGCUGGAGUUUAUUGCAAGUUUAUUGCGCUAAAUUGAAUAUGGAGUAUAGUUAGGUGAUAUUUUGUGUUAAGUGUUAACAUAUUUUGAACCCCGCAGACUCAUGUAAGUACGCAUUUUGUUGUGGUAAUAGACACGACUUUCGUUAGUAGUGAGAGUGACGAUCUUGGUUAUAUCUGUAACGUUAGAUCUUGUAUGAGAUGAUUUAGGUAAAUGCAUAGUGUUGUUGUCCUUAAACCUAUGUCUCCAAGUUGUAUGACGUGAUGUCAUGUAUUCCAGAAACGGCAACAUGGAACUCAAGAGAGAUAUGUUUGUUUCUAUUAUUUGAGUAAGAAGAUGCUCGAAUAGUGCAAUUAGACCGUAUUGAGUGCGGUGGUAAAGGCCAUAAUUGAUUUGCUGAUUUAGCGUAAUCAAAAGUUUAUGAGUCUUCGAUUAACUUUUAUGAAAAGACAUUUUAAACUGAGUUAUUUUAAAACACGUUACCGUGAAGAUUUAUUCUGCGUUUUGAAGCCAGAAUCUUCAGCCAGCCACUGUAAGUCUAUCGCAGCUUUACUAUUCUCAAACCUUAAGUAUUGAAUAUGGACAAACUCACCGUGUAUCAACUGAAAUGUGAGCUAAAGGCCCGCGGGAGAGGGACCACAGGGAAUAAGGCUGAUCUGGUUGCUUCGCUGCGUGAUGCAUUAGACGAAGAAGGAAUUGAUUUUGAGAGUUGGGCUGAAUUUGUCCCAAGUAAGGCCGCUGGGAUAUUUAACGCAAAUGAAAACAUGCCCCAAGCUAGUGCCGCCUUACCGAGUGGGCAACGAAGGAAUACCGUCGAAAUUACUGGAAGUGGCGAAGCUCCUCAAAUAAGCGAUACUAUUUCUAUCCAAACAUCUGCAUCGGCCGCUGAAAUGACAAGGUUAAAAUUGAUAGAAGAAGACGCGCUUCGUGCGGGCUUAGAAGCACAGCUGAAAAUUGUGCUAGAAAAACAGGAGUUAGAUAGAAAGAUGUCUGAAUUGGCAAGACAGAAGGAAAUUCUUGAAUAUACAGAGGCUAUAGAAAUUUCUAGAGCCAAGGUGAGGGCGCUAGGUAGACAUGAAGACCAUGAAAUAGUUGAAUCGAAUCGCGACAAAGAGACCCCGAGAUCGAUAUCGAAUGCUACGAACGACACGAACACGACAAACCGAAGGAGCCACGACGGCCAUCUAAAUACUGAGAGCAGCAAUAUUGCAGGACUGUUGAGACGAGAAAGGGAAAUAACUGCUGGGUUGAUGCGCUUGCCGCCUGUUGAAUUGCCCAAAUUUGGAGGUGAUGUUACUGAAUUUCCUCAUUUCAUGAAGGCAUUUAACCUAAAAAUUGCCUCAAAGCUGUCCACCGACGAAGAAAGAUUAUUUUAUUUAGAGCAGAAUAUGAUUCCAGAAAGCAAGCCACAUAGUAUCGUUACAGCUUGCUUAUACCUGGAUAACGGCUACGAAGAAGCUAAGAACCUUCUCACACGACGGUACGGUUCAGAGAGCGUUUUGGCAGCGGCAUUUGUUGAUCAAUUUGAAAAUUUAUUGCAGUUGAAACCAGACGAUAUUGAAGGGUUAGACCAUUUUGCACUGGAGCUUAUGAAGUGCAAGAAUGCCUUUGGUGUAAAUAGCGCAGCCAUGAGUGACCCCAGAACCCUGAGGAGUAUAAGCGCCAAGUUACCCGUUCACUCGCAACACAGAUGGCGACAUCGAGCCGACUCCAUUAAUGAAAAUGAGGGUAGAGCAGUGGUGUUUGAUGAUCUAGUGAACUUCGUUGUACAGGAGGCAAGAGUUGCAACCAAUCCUGUGUUUGGAAAUCGUGGGUCAAAUGCAACUGUAAGGCAAAAUAACUCUGUCACUGUGGGCAGAUUUCGUCCAAAACCGCUGGUGGCCGCGACACGGAUGGUUAGUGCCGGAGCAAGCCCAUGUAUUCACUGUCAAGAUAAGGGGCAUGAACUCACCGAUUGUAGUUGCUUUGCGAAGUUGCCACACCAGGACAAAAUUGCCAUUAUUAGGGAUUCAGCGCUGUGUUACGGCUGCUUGAAGCAAGGCCAUCGCAGUACUGACUGUAGACGACGAGCUAGCUGUUCCAUUUGUGCUUCCCGACAUCCUACAUCUCUCCAUAUCAAUAGAUCAGGAGGCAACAGUGAAAGAUCAGAAAAUGGUGUCCCAAAUGUAACAUCUUGCACCACGAAAGGUGGUGCAUCCGUCUCAUUUAGACCGGCUCUCCCGAUCGUCCCUGUUGUCCUACAUCACGGUCUUGAAAGGAAAUGUACACUUGCUUUUCUGGACAGCGGAUCAACUCAUUCAUUUAUUUCAGAAGGAUUGCUUAAAACUUUGAAACUACAGAGCCUGCCACAGACCAGACUAUCGCUGACAACAGUUGACAGAGAAGUUAGCAUCACGACACGAAUAGUCAACGGAGCUUGGUUGUCGGACGAGAAUGGUGGGAACAUUUUAGAGCUGCCUCAGUUGUUUUCUCUCGAAAAAAUUCCAGUGGACUUUGCUGAUUUUCCUACUCAAACUGAAAUAAGUAAAUGGAAACAUCUGGAAGGGGUCAAACUAGAUCUGUGCCAAAAUGAAGAAGUUGAACUUUUAUUGGGCUCCAACGCCUUUUUAGCCAUGGAACCAUUAGAAGUGGUGACAAGCAACGGAGAGGGUGGUCCUUUUGCCGUGCGAACAAGAUACGGAUGGGUUGUGAGCGGUCUCCGUGGGGUAUCAUCACCAUUUCCAGCGAAAUGUUACAAAACACUGGUACAUCCUGAGUUGCAACACCUUGAAGGGCUUGUACAACAGCUAUACAAUAAGGAACAUGAAGAAAAUCUACAUUCAAAUAAAAUGGGACCAUCUGUUGAGGACAAGAAAUGGGAGAAAUUCGUUCACGCGUCAACUAGACUGAUUAAAGAUCAUUAUGAGGUGGGACUACCGGUUGUAGAUGAAGGGCUGAUUCUGCCAAAUAACAGGAAUAUGGCGGCAAGCAGGCUACUGAGCUUGAGAAAUAAGCUUAGGCGGAGUGAUAAAUUGGCGUCCGAUUACAAGCUAUAUAUGAAAAACAUGUUGCAAAAUGGUUUCGCAGAGCCCGUACCAAAUGCCGAUUUAUCCAGAAAUGAUGGUAAGGUAUGGUAUCUUCCACAUCACGCCGUUCAGCAUCCCCAAAAACCGGACAAGGUUCGCAUUGUAUUUGAUGGCGCCGCAACCUUUAAAGGAAUCUCUUUAAAUGACAAUCUUUUGCAGGGACCAGACCAAACGAAUGCACUUUUAGACGUGUUGACCAGAUUCCGUAUGGAGAACAUAGCUUUCACAGCCGAUAUUGAAAAUAUGUUCCAUCAAGUUUAUGUUCCAGAGUCUGACCGCGAUUUAUUCAGAUUCCUGUGGUGGAAAGAUGGCGAUCCUCAAAAUGAUAUAUUGGAAUACCGCAUGAAAGUUCAUGUUUUUGGAGCCACUUCUUCACCCAGUAUAGCAUGCUUUGCAUUACGCAAGACAGCUUUAGACAACCGAGGGUGUUUCUCGAAUGAAAGCUGUGCUACUAUUGAGAAGAAUUUUUACGUCGACGACUUGCUGAAGGCAAUACCUGACGAAGGAAGCGCUGUACUGCUGCUUCGAGACCUGAUGGUUUUGUGCAAACGAGGGGGAUUUACUUUAAAGAAGAUUUCGAGCAAUAGUUCCGCUCUGAUUGCAUCCAUUCCUAGCGAAUCGCGGUCUAAGCAAUUGGCGUACUGGACCAGCGAUAGUAGUCACCUUCCCACUGAGCGAGUAUUGGGUGUAAUCUGGGACACUGAACAAGAUGUGUUAAAGAUGGCAUUGGAUCACGACAAGCUAGUUGCCCGGCCGAUGACAAGACGAGGAUUACUGUCAGCUGUAAGCUCCUUGUAUGAUCCAAUUGGCAUGUCAUGCCCAUCCAUGCUGAAGGGACGCCUCAUCUUGCAAGAAUUGAGCAGGCUACAUAAUGGAUGGGAUGAUAGUAUUCCGCUUGUCAAGCAGCAAGAGUGGACGGCUUGGCUAUCAGCUCUAAAUGAAGUGAAUGAAUUGUCAGUGAAUCGUUGUGUAAAACCUGAUAACUUUGGAGACGUAGUAUCUUGUCAACUUCAUCAUUUUGCUGACGCCAGUGAAGUAGCAUACGGAACGGUUUCUUACAUCCGGCUUACGAAUGCCAAAGGACAAAUCUGUUGUUCUUUUCUCAAGGGCAAGAUGCAUUUAGCGCCUCUCAAAGGAGCUACAAUACCUCGUCUGGAGCUCAUGGCGGCAACGACGGCGGUAAAAAUAUGCUCCCUGAUAGGUGAUACCAUUGAAUUCGAUGAUGUCGAGCAUAUAUUUUGGACUGACAGCACCACCGUUUUAAGGUACAUUCAGAACAAAGCGAAGCGUUUUCACACCUUUGUAGCAAAUAGAUUGGCAAUAAUCCACGAUGGGUCAAGGCCAGAACAAUGGAGGUAUGUCAAUAGUUCAGACAAUCCAGCUGACGACGUGUCUAGGGGUGUCCAAAGUAAGAGAUGGCUGAAUGGACCUGAAUUCCUUUGGAAGGACAAAGGCUUUUGGCCCUCAGCACCGAUCGCCUUCAGGGAGGUGACGGAGGACGACCCCGAAGUGCGAAAAACGGCGAUAUGCGCUAAAACUGCGAUUGUACCAGAUUCUGAAACUCCGAUGGAGCGGCUCAUUUUACAUUAUAGUCAGAAAGAAUCCCUGCUCAGAGGAUUGUCGUGGCUGUCACGAUUUACAAGAUCACUUAAGGAAGGACAGAAGGGGUUUAUAAAAAUGUCUCCCCCUUUGUGCUAUGAGGAGCAACGUGAAGCAGAAAAGAAAAUAAUUCGACAUAUACAAGAACAUGAAUUUCCAAGGGAGUAUGAAAACCUGUCAGUUGGCGCUGAGGUACCAAGAACCAGUCGAUUAGUGAAGCUUCACCCUUUCAUGCAAGACGGUAUCAUUAGGGUAGGUGGAAGAUUAGCAGAGGCUUCGAUUUUAGAAGAAACAAAACAUCCUAUCGUUAUUCCGAGUCGUGGUCAUUUUACAGAACUACUCAUUACGGACGCCCAUGAAGCCGUAGGGCACAGUGGGAGACAGUUCACGCUAGCGAAACUUCGAAAACGUUUUUGGAUUCUGAAGGGAAUUUCAAGUGUAAGACGUGUUCUAAACAGUUGUUUGAGUUGCACUAAACUCUACCGACCACCUGAAUCACAACAAAUGGCCAAUCUUCCGUCUGACAGAGUGCAAGCUCAAGAGCCACCGUUUACGCGAACAGGUGUGGAUUACUUUGGACCAUUUUAUGUCACUCAAGGUCGUUCACAGGUCAAGAGAUAUGGGGUCAUAUUCACCUGUCUUGCUAUCAGGGCCGUACAUCUGGAGGUUGCUGAAAAUCUGACGUCAGACUCAUUCAUUUGCGCCCUGCGCAGAUUCGUUGCACGUAGAGGUAAUGUUCAAAUACUAAGGUCUGACAACGGAACAAAUUUUACUGGAGCCAACAGGGAACUGCGCUUAGAGAUGACAAGGUUAUCAGAAAAUGAGCAUGUGUUACAAAGAGCAAUGCUCAAGCGAGGAAUUACAUGGAAAUUCAACGUGGCAGGCGCCUCCCAUCAUGGUGGGGUGUGGGAACGUCAGAUACGAUCCAUAGGAAGAAUACUCGAAUCCCUUUUAACAUCGCAAUCGCUCAAGGAAGAGACACUCCGAACCAUAUUUUGUGAAGUUGAAAACAUACUGAACAGUAGACCGCUUACGCCAGUAUCUAGCGACGUCAGGGACGAUCCACCUCUCUCGCCAAAUGACAUUCUUCUUCUGGGAGGACAUGGUGUAACGUUACCAUUCGGAGUCUUCUCCCAGGCGGACCAUGGAAAUAGAAAAAAAUGGAAGCAAGCUCGUCAUUUCGCAAAUGUUUUUUGGACACGGUGGAGAUCCGAAUACUUACCGACUCUACAAGAAAGGCACGUUAUGACAGAAACAAGAAAGAACUUUCAACCAGGAGACACAGUUCUGCUUGUUGAUGAUAGUGUUCCCAGAGGCCAGUGGCCACUCGGUUUGAUUGAAGCUGUUCGAACUAGUUCCGAUGGAUUGGUUCGAUCUGCGACUGUCCGAACAAGAGGGACAGUAAUGCAGCGCCCAGUGACAAAACUGGUGAAGUUAAAUUGAAACCUCUCGUUUUCGACCCCUCGUGGUUUCAAGGGGGUGGGUGUUGGCGCCGCCCAGCAAGAGGGUUCGCCGCAGUGUGUAUACGCGAGAAAAUUGUCACGCGAUUUUAUAAUUUCGAAUUCAGUAUUUUGUUUCCGUCUCAGCUGGAGUUUAUUGCAAGUUUAUUGCGCUAAAUUGAAUAUGGAGUAUAGUUAGGUGAUAUUUUGUGUUAAGUGUUAACAUAUUUUGAACCCCGCAGACUCAUAAACGGCAACAUGGAACUCAAGAGAGA
This 6469-nucleotide unclassified non-coding RNA is filed under the name Amphibalanus amphitrite. RNAcentral describes it as "uncharacterized LOC122374724, transcript variant X1". Lineage: Eukaryota; Metazoa; Arthropoda; Thecostraca; Balanomorpha; Balanidae. The record is from RNAcentral.